Molecule: non-coding RNA, 340 nt
Organism: Clostridium sp. CAG:533
Lineage: Bacteria; Bacillati; Bacillota; Clostridia; Eubacteriales; Clostridiaceae
Source: Rfam
UAUUUUAGGCAAACGCUGCAUUUAAUAAUGUAGAGGAAAGUCCAUGCUCACAAAGUCUGAGAUGACUUUAAUGUUCACGCUAAGGGAAAAAAUAACCUUAGGUAGCUUAUGCUAACGGCUUCGAAAUAGUCUAAGGGUAACUAUGACUAGAUUAGAUAUAAAAGUGCCAAAGAGACGAGUCUAUUUGGAAACGAGUAGAGUGGAACGUGGUAAACCCCGUGAGUGAGAAACCCAAAUUUUGGUAGGGGAGCUUUCUAUAGUGAAAUGAAACGAUUAGAGGGUGCUUAGGCAAGAUAAAUGUUUGCCACCUUUUUUAAGGUACAGAACAUGGCUUAUUAAA